RNAcentral lists this small RNA (118 nucleotides) under Vibrio hepatarius. RNAcentral's name for it is "MtlS RNA". It matches the Rfam family "MtlS RNA". The record is from RNAcentral. Lineage: Bacteria; Pseudomonadati; Pseudomonadota; Gammaproteobacteria; Vibrionales; Vibrionaceae.
UUCCCCGUUCGAUGUUCUGUUAAUAUGUUGUAGUACGGUUCGCCAAAACCGUCUGAUUGCUUAGUACCCAAUCAAUUUACCACACAUUUUUAUGAUGGAACUGACAACGGGUUUUUCG